Molecule: ribosomal RNA, 819 nt
Filed under: Flavobacterium sp. GL 45-10
Lineage: Bacteria; Pseudomonadati; Bacteroidota; Flavobacteriia; Flavobacteriales; Flavobacteriaceae
Description: bacterial SSU rRNA
Rfam family: Bacterial small subunit ribosomal RNA
Source: RNAcentral
AGUCGAGGGGUAUAGUUCUUCGGAACUAGAGACCGGCGCACGGGUGCGUAACGCGUAUGCAAUCUACCUUUUACAGAGGGAUAGCCCAGAGAAAUUUGGAUUAAUACCUCAUAGUAUUACGACUCGGCAUCGAGAUGUAAUUAAAGUCACAACGGUAAAAGAUGAGCAUGCGUCCCAUUAGCUAGUUGGUAAGGUAACGGCUUACCAAGGCUACGAUGGGUAGGGGUCCUGAGAGGGAGAUCCCCCACACUGGUACUGAGACACGGACCAGACUCCUACGGGAGGCAGCAGUGAGGAAUAUUGGACAAUGGGCGCAAGCCUGAUCCAGCCAUGCCGCGUGCAGGAUGACGGUCCUAUGGAUUGUAAACUGCUUUUAUACGAGAAGAAACAACUCUACGUGUAGAGUCUUGACGGUAUCGUAAGAAUAAGGAUCGGCUAACUCCGUGCCAGCAGCCGCGGUAAUACGGAGGAUCCAAGCGUUAUCCGGAAUCAUUGGGUUUAAAGGGUCCGUAGGCGGUUUAAUAAGUCAGUGGUGAAAGCCCAUCGCUCAACGGUGGAACGGCCAUUGAUACUGUUAGACUUGAAUUAUUAGGAAGUAACUAGAAUAUGUAGUGUAGCGGUGAAAUGCUUAGAGAUUACAUGGAAUACCAAUUGCGAAGGCAGGUUACUACUAAUGGAUUGACGCUGAUGGACGAAAGCGUGGGUAGCGAACAGGAUUAGAUACCCUGGUAGUCCACGCCGUAAACGAUGGAUACUAGCUGUUGGGAGCAAUCUCAGUGGCUAAGCGAAAGUGAUAAGUAUCCCACCUGGGGAGUACGU